Molecule: non-coding RNA, 216 nt
Filed under: unclassified sequences
Also listed under: 1 other name
Description: Cyano-2 RNA
Rfam family: Cyano-2 RNA
Source: RNAcentral
GGCAGCACGGGAGAGCGACCCGUUAGCUGGCAGACAAUCCAGGCCCCAUCCCACGGCAACUGUGGAUGGGGCCUGGCUUUCUGCGCUUAACCCCGUCUUCCAAUAACGGGAAAGAUUCAGUGCAUUGCACUUGAUUGCAGAACGCCUCGGCAGCGUUAUGGAGCGGACCGCAUCGCUCGGGGCGAACAAGCUUCUCCUCGCGGCUCCGUAGUCCCG